Molecule: ribosomal RNA, 441 nt
Filed under: uncultured bacterium
Lineage: Bacteria
Description: partial 16S ribosomal RNA
Rfam family: Bacterial small subunit ribosomal RNA
Source: RNAcentral
CCUACGGGUGGCAGCAGUGGGGAAUAUUGCACAAUGGGGGAAACCCUGAUGCAGCGACGCCGCGUGAGUGAAGAAGUAUUUCGGUAUGUAAAGCUCUAUCAGCAGGAACGAGACAAGACGGUACCUUACUAACAAGCCCCGGCUAACUACGUGCCAGCAGCCGCGGUAAUACGUAGGGGGCAAGCGUUAUCCGGAAUCACUGGGUGUAAAGGGAGCGUAGACGGCUGUGCAAGCCUGAAGUGAAAGUCGGGGGCCCAACCCCUGGACUGCUUUGGGAACUGUACGGCUGGAGUGCAGGAGAGGUGAGUGGAAUUCCUGGUGUAGCGGUGAAAUGCGUAGAUAUUAGGAGGAACACCAGUGGCGAAGGCGGCUUACUGGACUGUAACUGACGUUGAGGCUCGAAAGCGUGGGGAGCAAACAGGAUUAGAUACCCGUGUAGUC